AGCUAUGGGUCUAUUGGGCCUGAAUGUGCCCAAUCUUGUCUGAUCUCAGAAGCUAAGCAGGGUCGAGCCUGGUUAGUACUUGGAUGGGAGACCACCUGGGAAUACUAGGUGCUGUAGAUG
Molecule: ribosomal RNA, 120 nt
Filed under: Pteropus alecto (black flying fox)
Lineage: Eukaryota; Metazoa; Chordata; Mammalia; Chiroptera; Pteropodidae
Source: RNAcentral